GACGAACGCUGGCGGCGUGCCUAAUACAUGCAAGUCGAGCGAAUCAAUAGGAGCUUGCUCCUGUUGGUUAGCGGCGGACGGGUGAGUAACACGUGGGCAACCUGCCUGUAAGACUGGGAUAACACCGGGAAACCGGUGCUAAUACCGGAUAACCCUUUUCCUCUCAUGAGGAAUAGCUGAAAGUCGGUUUCGGCUGACACUUACAGAUGGGCCCGCGGCGCAUUAGGCUAGNGGUGAGGUAACGGCUCACCAAGGCGACGAUGCGUAGCCGACCUGAGAGGGUGAUCGGCCACACUGGGACUGAGACACGGCCCAGACUCCUACGGGAGGCAGCAGUAGGGAAUCUUCCACAAUGGACGAAAGUCUGAUGGAGCAACGCCGCGUGAGCG
Molecule: ribosomal RNA, 389 nt
Filed under: uncultured bacterium
Lineage: Bacteria
Description: bacterial SSU rRNA
Rfam family: Bacterial small subunit ribosomal RNA
Source: RNAcentral